AUGGCAUACCAUGGCCAGGGCCACAAAGUGCAGAAGGUGACGCCAUAGCCCAAAUGUCACUUCGGAUACUUGCAAAAUAGUGCCUGUGUGGCUCUGUAAGCAAAUAAAUAUGCAAAUAAUGAGCUGUAUCAUUGGUUUCAAUUAACAUAUGAAGCUUGCAUUAGAUGAUGAGGAAGAGAUUAUUUUAAAGCAGUGAAGAAAACAACUAGAUUACAUUAUGCUAAAAGGAGAUAUUAUUGCUCUGGUAUAAAAUGUCCCCA
RNAcentral lists this long non-coding RNA (260 nucleotides) under Homo sapiens (human). RNAcentral describes it as "non-protein coding lnc-DKK1-3:1". The record is from RNAcentral. Lineage: Eukaryota; Metazoa; Chordata; Mammalia; Primates; Hominidae.